Long non-coding RNA from Oreochromis aureus, 553 nucleotides. RefSeq lists it as uncharacterized. The record is from RefSeq and is a predicted model, not a curated record. NCBI's taxonomy places the organism in Eukaryota, Metazoa, Chordata, Actinopteri, Cichliformes, Cichlidae. The transcript is spliced from 5 exons.
AUGACACCGUUAGCCAGCAGUGUGUCUCCUGAAAAGAGAGCUGAUUAGAGAGGCAGUUUUGAAUUUAGGAGUGGCAAGAUGGCAGCGGCAAACCCUGGCGGUUCUCCGGGUUCGUGGCAACCACGGAUGGGGAAAAUGUGGAGGUUGCACGGCUGAUGUUUACUGUUCAUGGCACAGGAAGAGGCAGUUUUAUUUCAGGAAUGAGUGAGCACAAUCAAAGAAUAGAGCGACUGUGGAGAGACCUCUGGGUGGCCAUUACAUGCUUUACUACGAUGUUCUUCACAACCUUGAGGAAGAAGACCUUGACAUUUCAAAUGCUGCACACCUCUUUUGCUGCCAUUACGUCUUUCUUCCUCGACUGGAGGAUGAUUUUAAUACAUUUUGCAGUGGAUGGGACAACCAUCCACUGCGAACAGAAAACAACAUGAGUCCCAACCAGCUGUGGGAGUUGGGUCACAGAUAUCACCCUGUUCCUGUUCCAGAAAACACACAGCUUAUCACACAUUUGAUUUCCAUGUGUGACGACUGCAAGUGUCCAGAGUGAGGACAGACU